This 383-nucleotide ribosomal RNA is filed under the name uncultured bacterium. RNAcentral describes it as "bacterial SSU rRNA". It matches the Rfam family "Bacterial small subunit ribosomal RNA", at positions 29 to 414 of the family's 1533-position model. The record is from RNAcentral.
AUUGAACGCUGGCGGCAUGCCUUACACAUGCAAGUCGAACGGCAGCACGGGAGCAAUCCUGGUGGCGAGUGGCGAACGGGUGAGUAAUACAUCGGAACGUGCCCAAUAGUGGGGGAUAGCCCGGCGAAAGCCGGAUUAAUACCGCAUACGACCUACGGGUGAAAGCGGGGGAUCGCAAGACCUCGCGCUACUGGAGCGGCCGAUGUCGGAUUAGCUAGUUGGGGGGUAAAGGCCUACCAAGGCUACGAUCCGUAGCUGGUCUGAGAGGACGACCAGCCACACUGGGACUGAGACACGGCCCAGACUCCUACGGGAGGCAGCAGUGGGGAAUUUUGGACAAUGGGCGCAAGCCUGAUCCAGCCAUGCCGCGUGCGGGAAGAAGG